This 1068-nucleotide ribosomal RNA is filed under the name marine metagenome. RNAcentral describes it as "bacterial SSU rRNA". It matches the Rfam family "Bacterial small subunit ribosomal RNA", at positions 8 to 1088 of the family's 1533-position model. The record is from RNAcentral.
AGAGUUUGAUCCUGGCUCAGGAUGAACGCUGGCGGCGUGCUUAACACAUGCAAGUCGAACGGUGAAGCAGAGCUUGCUCUGUGGAUCAGUGGCGAACGGGUGAGUAACACGUGAGCAAUCUGCCCCUGACUCUGGGAUAAGCGCUGGAAACGGCGUCUAAUACCGGAUACGAGCUGCGAAGGCAUCUUCAGCAGCUGGAAAGAAUUUCGGUCAGGGAUGAGCUCGCGGCCUAUCAGCUUGUUGGUGAGGUAACGGCUCACCAAGGCGUCGACGGGUAGCCGGCCUGAGAGGGUGACCGGCCACACUGGGACUGAGACACGGCCCAGACUCCUACGGGAGGCAGCAGUGGGGAAUAUUGCACAAUGGGCGAAAGCCUGAUGCAGCAACGCCGCGUGAGGGACGACGGCCUUCGGGUUGUAAACCUCUUUUAGCAGGAAAGAAGCGAAAGUGACGGUACCUGCAGAAAAAGCGCCGGCUAACUACGUGCCAGCAGCCGCGGUAAUACGUAGGGCGCAAGCGUUAUCCGGAAUUAUUGGGCGUAAAGAGCUCGUAGGCGGUCUGUCGCGUCUGCUGUGAAAACCCGAGGCUCAACCUCGGGCCUGCAGUGGGUACGGGCAGACUAGAGUGCGGUAGGGGAGAUUGGAAUUCCUGGUGUAGCGGUGGAAUGCGCAGAUAUCAGGAGGAACACCGAUGGCGAAGGCAGAUCUCUGGGCCGUAACUGACGCUGAGGAGCGAAAGGGUGGGGAGCAAACAGGCUUAGAUACCCUGGUAGUCCACCCCGUAAACGUUGGGAACUAGUUGUGGGGUCCAUUCCACGGAUUCCGUGACGCAGCUAACGCAUUAAGUUCCCCGCCUGGGGAGUACGGCCGCAAGGCUAAAACUCAAAGGAAUUGACGGGGACCCGCACAAGCGGCGGAGCAUGCGGAUUAAUUCGAUGCAACGCGAAGAACCUUACCAAGGCUUGACAUAUACGAGAACGGGCCAGAAAUGGUCAACUCUUUGGACACUCGUAAACAGGUGGUGCAUGGUUGUCGUCAGCUCGUGUCGUGAGAUGUUGGGUUAAGUCCC